UCGCUGUGUGUUAUAUGUGUCACACGGGACUGCCGGUCUUAAGCCGGAGGAAGUGGGGAUGAUGUCAAGUCAGCAUGGCCUUUAUAUCCUGGGCUACACACACGCUACAAUGGCCAACACAAUAGGUUGCUAAGCCGCGAGGUGGCGCCAAUCCAUAAAGUUGGUCUCAGUUCAGAUUGUAGGCUGCAACCCGCCUGCAUGAAGAUGGAGUUGCUAGUAACCGCAGGUCAGCUAUACUGCGGUGAAUACGUUCCCGGGGCUU
RNAcentral lists this ribosomal RNA (262 nucleotides) under uncultured Leptolinea sp. RNAcentral describes it as "partial 16S ribosomal RNA". It matches the Rfam family "Bacterial small subunit ribosomal RNA", at positions 1105 to 1382 of the family's 1533-position model. Lineage: Bacteria; Bacillati; Chloroflexota; Anaerolineae; Anaerolineales; Anaerolineaceae. The record is from RNAcentral.